This 400-nucleotide long non-coding RNA is filed under the name Junco hyemalis (dark-eyed junco). RNAcentral's name for it is "lncRNA (ENSJHYG00000014091.1)". Lineage: Eukaryota; Metazoa; Chordata; Aves; Passeriformes; Passerellidae. The record is from RNAcentral.
AUGGGAAGGCUGAGAUGUCUGUAUGGUGCUAGACAGGAAAAGUAUUGGCCAAAGAUCUGGAAAUACAUAAAGACUAAUUGUGGAAUUCAGCAUUUGCACAUAGAGCACUACUGUGGUGUCUCAGGAAUGCCUCCUUCAGUGAGAACAGAGAUUGUUGUUCUUUGCCUGGAAUAUAAUUUACUGAAAAAAUCCCAACUGUUUGGCUUCAUCUGGAAUCACUUCAGAGCUGUGAAGAAAGUGUAACAACACACAGAAAGUAAAACUGCUGUCAGUGCCAGUCUGUGAAGAAGUGUUUGCUGAAAAAUUAUUCUAUCUCAAGGUCACUGGCACUUAAAGAGUAUCAGGAAGUUCCAUGACUUUGAAAAAUAAAUAAUUUUUGUCUGGAGUUCUUGGCUGGUGU